UAGGGAAUCUUCCACAAUGGACGAAAGUCUGAUGGAGCAACGCCGCGUGAGUGAAGAAGGGCUUCGGCUCGUAAAACUCUGUUGUUAAAGAAGAACAUAUCUGAGAGUAACUGUUCAGGUAUUGACGGUAUUUAACCAGAAAGCCACGGCUAACUACGUGCUAG
RNAcentral lists this ribosomal RNA (164 nucleotides) under uncultured bacterium. Its description in RNAcentral is "partial 16S rRNA". It matches the Rfam family "Bacterial small subunit ribosomal RNA", at positions 355 to 511 of the family's 1533-position model. The record is from RNAcentral.